GUGCUCGCUUCGGCAGCACAUAUACUAAAACUGGAAUGAUACAGAGAAAGAUUAGCAUGGCCCCUGUGCAAAGGUAACCCGUAAAUUUGUGACAUGUUCCAUAUUUUA
Molecule: small nuclear RNA, 108 nt
Organism: Cebus imitator (Panamanian white-faced capuchin)
Lineage: Eukaryota; Metazoa; Chordata; Mammalia; Primates; Cebidae
Source: Ensembl